This 496-nucleotide ribosomal RNA is filed under the name uncultured bacterium. Its description in RNAcentral is "partial 16S ribosomal RNA". It matches the Rfam family "Bacterial small subunit ribosomal RNA", at positions 29 to 507 of the family's 1533-position model. The record is from RNAcentral.
AUGAACGCUGGCGGCGUGCCUCAUACAUGCAAGUCGAGCGAACAGAUGAGGAGCUUGCUCCUCUGACGUUAGCGGCGGACGGGUGAGUAACACGUGGAUAACCUACCUAUAAGACUGGGAUAACUUCGGGAAACCGGAGCUAAUACCGGAUAAUAUAUUGAACCGCAUGGUUCAAUAGUGAAAGACGGUUUUGCUGUCACUUAUAGAUGGAUCCGCGCCGCAUUAGCUAGUUGGUAAGGUAACGGCUUACCAAGGCAACGAUGCGUAGCCGACCUGAGAGGGUGAUCGGCCACACUGGAACGGAGACACGGUCCAGACUCCUACGGGAGGCAGCAGUAGGGAAUCUUCCGCAAUGGGCGAAAGCCUGACGGAGCAACGCCGCGUGAGUGAUGAAGGUCUUCGGAUCGUAAAACUCUGUUAUUAGGGAAGAACAAAUGUGUAAGUAACUAUGCACGUCUUGACGGUACCUAAUCAGAAAGCCACGGCUAACUACGUG